RNAcentral lists this ribosomal RNA (460 nucleotides) under uncultured bacterium. Its description in RNAcentral is "partial 16S ribosomal RNA". It matches the Rfam family "Bacterial small subunit ribosomal RNA", at positions 338 to 795 of the family's 1533-position model. The record is from RNAcentral.
CCUACGGGAGGCAGCAGUGAGGAAUAUUGGUCAAUGGCCGGAAGGCUGAACCAGCCAUGCCGCGUGAAGGGCAGGGUCCUAUGGGCGUUAAACUUCUUUUGUGCGGGAGAAAUAAUGGUCACGUGUGGCCAGACGAGAGUACCGUACGAAUAAGCAUCGGCUAAAUCCGUGACAGCAGCCGCGGUAAUACGGGGGAUGCAAGCGGUUUCCGGAUUUAUUGGGGUUAAAGGGUGCGUAGGCUGUGAGGUAAGUCAGCGGUGAAAUGCCCCCGCUCAACGGGGUGAAGUGCCAUUGAUACUGCCUUGCUGGAAUGCGGAUGCCGUGGGAGGAAUGUGUGGUGUAGCGGUGAAAUGCAUAGAUAUCACACAGAACACCGAUUGCGAAGGCAUCUCACGAAUCCGCGAUUGACGCUGAUGCACGAAAGCGUGGGUAUCAAACAGGAUUAGAUACCCCAGUAGUC